Molecule: long non-coding RNA, 765 nt
Filed under: Equus asinus (donkey)
Lineage: Eukaryota; Metazoa; Chordata; Mammalia; Perissodactyla; Equidae
Description: lncRNA (ENSEASG00005032660.1)
Source: RNAcentral
AAACAUCCCAGCCCACAUGCGCAGAGAGACCAUAAACGGGGACAAUAAAAUGGACAGUAUCUUAGCUGGCGACGAGUGCUAAGAAGAAAGAAUAAUGAAAGGGCAUUCGGAAGUGUUGGGGGCAGGGUAGGUUUUAUAGAGAGUGGGCAGGGAAGUCCUCACUGGAAGCUUGCACUUGAACGACCUGAAGGAGAGGAAGGAGCAGGUUAUGCAGCAGUGUGGGGAACGGCAUUCCUGGCUGAAGGAACACAAGCGCCUGUGAAACACGGAGGAGGCCAGGUGGCUGGACCAGAGAGAGGAGGGGGCAGAAUAAAUAGGAAAAGAGGAACACCCACUAACUUCUUGUCGGAUCUGAGAGAGUGAAUCAGCCCUGAUAAGCUGACUGUGAAGUUCCCGACGGUCAUAAACAGGGCCAGCGCAAGGCCAACAGAAAAUAGUGUUUUUCCCAACGCCACACCACAGCUGCAGAAUGACUAACACCCCAGCAUAUGAGGAUUUGGCAGCUAGAACAAGGCUGAGCGCGACUGACACAGGAAACAGGCCCGUGGCUGGACUGGCGCCUAAAUGCAGCUGAAUGGGGACACACACCCUUGCUAAGGCAAGGAAGCAGCUGUCAUUCAAAGCACUGGGCUCAAUGUCACCAGUUUGUUUCCUUAUUCCAAGUGUCUUGAUUGCCUUAGGAAGGUAACACUAAUGGCUGGACAUGGUACAACUCAGUCUUAACUUUGUAGUUUGCGUGGCUCUUUAGGAAGAGGGAGAUUUGGG